RNAcentral lists this long non-coding RNA (566 nucleotides) under Salmo salar (Atlantic salmon). RNAcentral's name for it is "lncRNA (ENSSSAG00000105769.1)". The record is from RNAcentral. Lineage: Eukaryota; Metazoa; Chordata; Actinopteri; Salmoniformes; Salmonidae.
CCCUGGCUGUUGCACAUUAGACAAGCAGUACUUGGAAAUAUCUUAUUUGGAUUUAAAUGUAUGGUGAUGUCUGUGGGGUUAAUCUAAGGAUAUUGCAAGUGUCAUACAAUGAGUUUGACUCUUCGGACCAGAAUAAAUUGUGGCAUAUUGGCACAUGAGUACCAGCGCCGUUAUAAUCCAAUUCAACGGUUUGCAUGCUAGUGUCAACGGACUGGUGGGUUGAGACCUCUGAGGCAGAGGGCUUCCUGGAGAAAUAUGGCUACCUGCACCAGGACAAUCACAUACACAAUGCCGCAGAGGUCAAAACAGCAGUCCGGACCUGAGCCCUAGGACCAUGCCUCAGGACUACCUGGCCCGAUGACUCCUUGCUGUCCCCAGUCCACCUGGCCGUGUUGCUGCUCCAGUUUCAAUUGUUCUGCCUGCGGCUAUGGAACCCUGACCUGUUCACCGGAUGUGCUACCUGUCCCAGACCUGCUGUUUUCAACUCUCUAGAGACAGCAGGAGCGGUAGAGAUACUCUGAAUGAUCGUCUAUGAAAAGCCAACUGACAUUUACUCCUGAGGUGCU